GAUGAACGCUGGCGGCGUGCCUAAUACAUGCAAGUCGAACGAAACUUCUUUAUCACCGAGUGCUUGCACUCACCGAUACAGAGUUGAGUGGCGAACGGGUGAGUAACACGUGGGCAACCUGCCCAAAAGAGGGGGAUAAAACUUGGAAACAGGUGCUAAUACCGCAUAACCAUAGUUACCGCAUGGUAACUAUGUAAAAGGUGGCUAUACUACCGCUUUUGGAUGGGCCCGCGGCGCAUUAGCUAGUUGGUAGGGUAAAGGCUUACCAAGGCAAUGAUGCGUAGCCGAAUUGAGAGGGUGAUCGGCCACAUUGGGACUGAGACACGGCCCAAACUCCUACGGGAGGCAGCAGUAGGGAAUCUUCCACAAUGGGCGAAAGCCUGAUGGAGCAACGCCGCGUGGGUGAAGAAGGUCUUCGGAUCGUAAAACCCUGUUGUUAGAGAAGAAAGUGCGUGAGAGUAACUGUUCACGUUUCGACGGUAACUAACCAGAAAGCCACGGCUAACUACGUG
This 512-nucleotide ribosomal RNA is filed under the name uncultured bacterium. RNAcentral describes it as "partial 16S ribosomal RNA". It matches the Rfam family "Bacterial small subunit ribosomal RNA", at positions 28 to 507 of the family's 1533-position model. The record is from RNAcentral.